UCCUCCUCCACCUUCUCCUCCUCCUCCUCUGUCGUCUUCUUCUUAUUCCUUUUCUUCUUCUUCUUCCUCCUCCUCCUCCUUCCUCUUCUUCCUCCUCCUCCUCCUUCUUGUUCUUUUCCUCCUCUUCCUCCUUCUUCUUCUCCUUCUCCUUUUCCCUCUUCCUCCUCCUCCCCCUGCCUUUCCUCCUCCCCCUCCUCCUCCUCCUCUUCCUCCUCCUCCUCCUUCUUCUUCUUCUUCUUCUUCUUCUUCUCCUUCUAAUAUAAAAAAUAAAAUUAAAGCUUGUGUGUACCCUUGUGUGUCCCUUUGGGUUGAGCUCUCUAAUAGACAUAUUUUGCAGGAGGGAUUACAUAGGAAGAGACAUACUAACAGUGCUCUCGGAAUCAACACCUAUGAAAGGAAAGAGAACUCAAUAUUGGACAGAGGGAAAAUUCAAGCUAUGCAUUAUCAACAGAUGAGUUGCCUGCUCCUGUGAGAAGCCCUGGAGGUGGAAUGACUAUACAUUUUUUUUUUUUCCUGAAUCCUAUGCUCAGACACUGAAGAUGGGCCGGCCCAGUAAAGGGGUAUACAUUUGGUCAAAGUGGCUCUUUUUAGUUGAGGCCAUCUCCUGAAAGAGCUUAUAGGUGAGAGUUGUCUGCUGUAGCUGGGGAAUAAAUUUUUAUUCCCAAGCAGAAAUCUCAAUACCCCCAUGCAGUGUCCACAGAGUAUUUUCCCAAAAUGAUGGGGAGAAUUUGGAGCCCUAGGAUUUAUGCAAGGGGUUCAAUUCUAAUUUAUUCACCCUACUCAGGCUCAUACUCCAAUUUUUUUUUUUUUUUUUGCACCUGGUCUGCAUGUUAGAAUACCAGUUUGUAGCUUUUAAACCCUACAGCUUAUUAUAAAUGUUAGGGUUUUCCACUUCUCGUUAAUGCUUUUGCCUUGAUUGCUUGCUUCAAUUUUAGCAUUCUUACAUUUAUCUUCCUUUAGAGUUCAACUCUAAAUUUGUAUUUUAUUCAUAAUUAUUUCAUAGCAUUUUUCAGGUCAUUUUAUUACUGUGUGUUCCUUAGAUUCUAACACCCUAUGUUGUUGUACUGACUGCGUCAUUGAUUCUGUUUCUUGAUGUGAAUUGCAUUUGUUCCCUGUGACUAAUUUCCUGUAAUUGCAGCCAGAGAGGGUUCUGUUUUCAUCAGCUCAGUCCAAGGUGAUCAGUAUUUUCUUAACAUAAUGUUUACCUUGAAUAUAUUAUGAUUUUAAUUGUGAAAUGCUAUUCAAUUUUUUAAGGAUUCCCUCAGAAGUAAUGUGCUCUGUAAAGUUUAGGAGACACAAUAUUUUAUAGAUUUUGCUAGUAAAACCAGAAUUAGAAACUUGUACUUUUUGACAUUGACACAUGCCAUUAUUGCUAUAUAGGAAAUCUCCAUAACAUCAACAUCAAUUUCAAGUAAAAAAUAGGGCACUAUUUAUCUCAAAACCAAGUUAGCCCCAAGUCAUGAUCACAUUAUUGUCAUUUACUCUUUGUAAAUACUGUUACAUGUGACACCUGUCUUUGCCAAUAAAAUCCAUAAUCCUGGAG
RNAcentral lists this long non-coding RNA (1543 nucleotides) under Homo sapiens (human). RNAcentral's name for it is "HSALNT0250394". Lineage: Eukaryota; Metazoa; Chordata; Mammalia; Primates; Hominidae. The record is from RNAcentral.